GUUAAUUGCUGGCCUGUAUGAAUGGCUAAACGAGGGCUCCACUGUCUCAAUAAUAAACCUAGUGAAAUUGAGAUGGCGGCGAAGACGCCGCCUAUGAAUUCUAAGACGAGAAGACCCCAUUGAGCUUUACUAUUAACUUGUAUUGUCAGAGCAAAGGGGAGGGGGACCCUACGGGUCUAGGGAAUACCCCGGAUCCGUUUUGCCCCCUGUCCCUAGCUUCAUAAUAAAAUUGUGGAGACUAUGUGGCAAAAGAAAAACAAGGGAUUUAAAAGAACGGGGGGGGGGAGGACCCUUAGGGGUCCCCCCCCCGGGACCCGAAGGGUCCGCCACGCCCCGUCCCGAUUUAUAUGAAAAACCACUCUUUUUAUUAAGAUUACUGUCUAACACCGUACAAGUAAGAUAGUUUGGUUGGGGCGACCGCCUUCGAAAAAGUAUCGAAGGCGCACAUAAGAUUAAUCAGGAGAAGGAUCCGAAGGAUCUUUUUAUCGGGAGUAAUGUCCCAAAAAAGGAGAUUAAUUUGACUGAGAGGGCAACAACCCGAACAGACGUCAAAGGAUAGACCGGGGGGGGAAUCCUACAGAUUCCUUCCCCCCCUUCUUUUGGCGGGUCAUAGUGAUCCGUUGUUAUAUUGUGGGAUAGACAACGAUCAA
Molecule: ribosomal RNA, 650 nt
Filed under: Placozoa sp. ME-2010
Lineage: Eukaryota; Metazoa; Placozoa
Description: partial 16S ribosomal RNA
Rfam family: Bacterial large subunit ribosomal RNA
Source: RNAcentral